RNAcentral lists this ribosomal RNA (449 nucleotides) under uncultured bacterium. RNAcentral's name for it is "partial 16S ribosomal RNA". It matches the Rfam family "Bacterial small subunit ribosomal RNA", at positions 29 to 523 of the family's 1533-position model. The record is from RNAcentral.
AACGAACGCUGGCGGCAUGCCUAACACAUGCAAGUCGAACGAGACCUUCGGGUCUAGUGGCGCACGGGUGCGUAACGCGUGGGAAUCUGCCCUUGGGUUCGGAAUAACAGUUGGAAACGACUGCUAAUACCGGAUGAUGUCUUCGGACCAAAGAUUUAUCGCCCAGGGAUGAGCCCGCGUAAGAUUAGCUAGUUGGUGGGGUAAAGGCCUACCAAGGCGACGAUCUUUAGCUGGUCUGAGAGGAUGAUCAGCCACGCUGGGACUGAGACACGGCCCAGACUCCUACGGGAGGCAGCAGUGGGGAAUAUUGGACAAUGGGCGCAAGCCUGAUCCAGCAAUGCCGCGUGAGUGAUGAAGGCCUUAGGGUUGUAAAGCUCUUUUACCCGGGAUGAUAAUGACAGUACCGGGAGAAUAAGCCCCGGCUAACUCCGUGCCAGCCGCCGCAGUAA